AUUGAACGCUGGCGGCAGGCCUAACACAUGCAAGUCGAGCGGAGCGUCGGACGCGUGCGUCAUGCCUAGGCAUCUGCCUGGUCGCCGGGGAUACCGUCCGGUUACGGGCGCUACUACCACAUCCUAUCAGCUGAGCCUAGGUCGGAUUAGCUGGUUGGUGGGGUAAAGGCCUACCAAGGCGCCGAUCGGUUACUGGUCUGGGAUGUUGAUCAGUCACACUGGGACUGGAGCACGGUCCCGACUCCUACGGGAAGCAGCUGUGGGGAAUAUUUGACAAUGGGCGAGAGCCCGAACCCACCCUUCCGCGUGUGUGAAGAAAGUCUUCCGGUUGUAAAGCACUUUAAGGUGGGAGGCGUUACCCACAGAAUAAGCACCGGCUAACUUCGUGCCAGCAGCCGCGGUAAUAC
Molecule: ribosomal RNA, 407 nt
Filed under: uncultured bacterium
Lineage: Bacteria
Description: partial 16S ribosomal RNA
Rfam family: Bacterial small subunit ribosomal RNA
Source: RNAcentral